This is a long non-coding RNA of Mustela erminea (ermine), 2846 nucleotides long. RefSeq lists it as uncharacterized. Lineage: Eukaryota; Metazoa; Chordata; Mammalia; Carnivora; Mustelidae. The transcript is spliced from 3 exons. The record is from RefSeq and is a predicted model, not a curated record.
AUUCAGGAGCAGGGAGAACAGGCCCAUUGUCUCCCUGACGGCGCGUUCCCCGGUGUGAUUAGAACAACUGAGAACCCAGAGCGCGCUCCCGACUCCAGCCACGAAUGCAGCGUGGCCCAGCCACACGGCGUCAAGGUCCCAAGGACGUGAAUUCAGAAAUGACGAAAUCACAGACGUCAACAACAGCUUGCCUCCCUCCGCGCCAGGCUUCCAUCCAGAUGGAGUGAAUCCUCCCUAUCGACAGCACCUUCCUCUAUGACCUGACUCAAGCCCUGCACUGCUCGCGGUCCCUCUGAGAGCCUCUGAACUACCCUGCCUGCUCCUGCUCGCCCACGGGUCACUGACAACCAGAAGCGUUUGCAUGGUUUUGCAGACUUCCCAAGACACUUCCGGUCGUGAUUUUGUCCGGCCUCGUGAAACUCUGAGAGCAACGUUUCUUGCAAGCAGCCCAUUUCCCAACAACGUUGAAUUGUCCACGUGGCAGAGAGAUGCCAGCGGGAUAAGUGCACGGACACAGAGGACUGUCCAUGGGAAGGUAACACAGGGCAGCCUCUGCGCCUGCAGGGGCAAAAUAUGUUGGUCUGGAAAUGUGGGGAGUCUCUGAGUCCAAAAACCUCCGCCAGCCAAAGCCUCUCACUCGCUCACCCUGGACUCCCUUUGCAUAGUAAGGCACUCUCCAUACCGCCGAGGGUAAAUGCUGGGGGCCCCUCUCCCCUUUCGUGCUGAUCCCAAAGCCUGGUAUCAUACUCGAGGAAAAUAUGAAUGUGCAAACUAAAACAAAUCAACAGGUACCAGGAUCUCCUUUUGGAAAGUUCGUCCAUCCACAGAGACACGUGUUGAACGGCGGUGCCCCUGGACGGAGGUGGUGAGGGAAGGAUUGCGGGCGGGCGGGUCGGUCGGCGCACGGCACACAGGGAAGGGGCAGGUGGGAAUGGAAAUCCCUGAUGGGGCUGCCCUCGUGGGGGCUGCAGGGACCCCCGAGGAGCCCCCAGGCUCUCCGUGACAUGGCGAGGAGACGCGAUCUUAUCUCCGUGGGCAGUGGUCGCAGUGGCGGAUGGGCAGGACCAGCCCCGGGAGGGCCCAGCCACACUGGGGCGCGGAAAGACGCACUGAGAACCGACAAUCUGGUGGAAGCUGGUGGACGUGGGGCCUCUCGCGCGUCAAAGAGCGCACGACUCCACCGGCUCCCACAGCCACAACCAGAUGCUGACCGCACAGGCCGGGCUGGCCCAGGCCUUGCCUUUCUGCCCAGCUCCCACGGAGGCUGCAGCUGCCGCUGCUGCUGGCGCGGCGUAUGCACGGAGGAGCGGCCCCAAGACGUGGGGGCCCAGCCAGGUGUCGGGUCAUUCCCGCACCGUCUGAUGGUGGCCAGAGCGGACUGCGGGAGCUAAGGGCACAGGUGAGGCUUUCCUCCCGGGAAAGUCUCCAACCAGACAGCACGGGGGAUGCUGAGCUGAGACCUCUGGUCGUUCACUCAGCCGCAGCCAGCCUCCCCGAGCCGCAUGGUCUCUUUCUUACUGACCUUUCACGUCCCCUCAAGUGGUUCUGUGGCAUCUGAGUGUGAAGGGCAUCUUUUUCCUUCCCGCCUUCCUUUUUUUUUUUUUUUUUUUUUUUUAAUGGGAGGUUUUUAUGCCGGUCUCUGAGUUCGGACAUUCAGUACAAGUUCUUAUUUUUUAAGAUUUUACAUCCUCUCCCUCGAUGGAUAUGUGACAAUACAGUCUGAUUGUUCUAAUCAUGGCACGUAUGGCAAAUAAUGACUAAUGAAACUUGGUGCAAUGUGGCAUAUGGGAGUUCACCGAUUGCUUUUGCUCACACUUUCUCUUUUAAUCCUUGCGAUGCUCUGGGAGAAUCUAGCAUGUGUUCCAUUCCACAUUCCAGGGACAAAGUCCAAGCCAAACAUGGCAUUUUCUGAGAAUCUUGCCUUUCUCAUCCCAUGGACCAAAUAAGCAGGCUGACAUUUUAAAAUAUGUUUAUCCCCAAACCGGUUUACUGGCACCGUACAUGAGAAUGCUCUGUGCGGGGUUCCGGCAACGUGGAAGCUUCAGGAACAGGGAGGCGAGCCCAGGAGAAAGCGAUGCGCCCACGGCAGGGCUCCUCGUCCCUCCUGUGCCUUGUCCGACAAGGCUGAAUGCAGAGAGGGCAGGCGUCUUCUGUCCACUGGGGCUCUCAGAGCUGCCCCAGGCUGGACCUGGUGUCUGAAUUGAAAUCACUCCACAGAGCUCACUCGGACGCCCUACCACACACCCCCACAAAUGGGCCCACCAGAGCUACUUCUUGGCAAGUAUGCCAGUGUCCACGCCUGUAGCCCUGAUUCUGAGAAGAGUUCAUGUGCCGAUCUAUUAAAGUUCACUUGGAAAGGAAGGACCCAAUUUUGGAUGGACCCAAGAAUGUCAUAAAAGUUUCCAUUUAGAACAUGCAUUUUUGAAUUGUAACUGACACAUUUUUGACCUGAAACCCAAGAAACAUGAAGGUGACAUCAAGAAGUCUUACGUGAGUUCCAGGGGAGUCACUGACACCUCCAGUCAGACAAAAUGUCCUCCCCAAGCAGAUGGAUGGUCCUACCCCUGCCCUGUUGGGAGGAGCUCGAGCGGACCUGCGGGGGGCGUCCUGAGUCUGUCCAGGCGGAGCUGGAAAGACCAGGUGGAUGAACUGCCCUCGGAGGACGUCCGUCAGGACUCCGUAUGUCUUCGAUGACAAUGCACCAGAGAGUCCCAUCUGACUUGUAGACCUCUUCUUGUAAAUGCCACCUGCAGGCCAUUCUUGUCAACACAUGCCCAGAAUUAUAAACAUCUCAGGUAUUUUAGGAUUGUGUGAAGGUUCUGUGAAUAUUAAAAAAACAAAAACAA